UCCCGCGGUCUGGUUUGCUGGGGAGCCUGUUUCAAACGAAUAAGCGGGUUCUUUCUCUUGCCCUGUUGCAACCUGCCCCAUGAGCGCGCGCGCGCGCGCGCGCACACACACCCCGUGUAUUAUCCCCCCAUGCUUUCUCCUCCCUCUUCACGUGCAAUGCCUCUGAGUGUGCAAUGCUUGUCUGCUCGGGAGCGCAGCGUCCUUCACAGCGGAUUGGUUCCUCUUUCGGAGCAGAGAAGGCUGACAUAUCUUCCUGUGUUCAUUGUGUGAGCUGCUCUUCAACAAAUUAAAAAUCGUCCAGGACCAGGCAGGAUAUAACUGCAAUCUAUGUGCUUUCAAGAACACAUAGAGCAACCAAAGCAAACAUUUGUGAAACCCACUGGAAAAGUGCUACUCUCCAUUUGGAUGAUGACCCACUAUUGCUGUCAGGUCCUUGGCACCAUUCCAUCUGUGCUCCAGCUAUCCCUGGCUGUUGGAACAUCCCUGGCUGUUGGAUAUAAUUUGCAGCAUCCUUGAGGGUGUCCUAAAUUAUGAUGGUGGUCAGGAUGGUACCCUGCCAGCCCCAGGAUCACUGAUAUGCAAAGAUCGUAUAGGCUUUCUUUCCCUACAGCAUGGAUGAAGAGAGAUGAAUAUUGCUGCUGAUUUUUGGUUCCUUUGAGAGGACCAGAUACUGCAUCAAAGUGAAAGCAUGGAAAUAUGUAUGCACAGAGGGGAGUCAUAUGCAGGCCCCCUUCUACUUUCAGUGCACAGGAUGGAUCUGCUCUGGAGAUGAAUUAGGGUUGUUUAAUAAAGGAGCCUAUUAUCUGUGGGAUCCCUGCCUGAUUUGGCCAAAUUAGGGAAGAUUUUCACAGGGACAGCAAAAGGGAACUCCCUGACACAAAGGCCAACCCCUGCCAAAUUUUAGGUUCCUGUUCCAAAGGAUGGGGACCAAAAGCAUUUAAAAGAAAAGGUCUAAAGAUUUUUUUUAUCAUGCUUUUUCCCUCACCUUAUUCCUGGAAACAACUGAACCAAUGUUUCUGAAAUUUUCUGACAAAAUUCAGCCUAAGGCUGACAUCUAGCAAGAGAAAUUUCAUCCCAAAUGGUUAGAGUUUGGAAAAGUUGUAAACAAUUGAAAACAGGGUUGUAUAAUGGGAAGUAUUGAGUCCCAUCAGAAAUAAUUUUCCAUAGCUUGGGUAGCAAAUACAUUUUGGAUUCUACUCAGCACUGAAAAAAACCCCUCUAAAAAAGGGCAACUUCUUCUAUGAAACAUACUCAACUAAUAUUGAAAUAAUUGACGUAUGUUAGAGGCCCUUCUCAAGGCACAGCUUCAUUAAAUCAAGGUUAAUAGCAAAGUCUCAUGCCUGACAAUUUUAACUUUUUAUAUUUAAUUUAAAUUUUUCCGCACCAUCUACCCUUUCUGGCUUAUUUACCUGAUUUUCUAUUAAGUGAACAGCAUGAACUUCUAAUAUUUAGUUCCAAAGAUCAAGCAUCGUGUUCUUAUCUAACACAAAUGUCGAGGUGUCAGCCUGAUUAUACCCUUUGUUGCACAAAUAGGCAGCAAAACACAGAGAGUGGAUUUAAAAAAUGCUCAGCGUUGGUCUAAUUCUAACAUUGAAGUCAAUGUUAUUGACUUUAAUAGUGUUGAUUCAAUAGGAGAAGAGUUUGGCCAACACUGAGUACUUUGAAAAUCGCACCUAGCUACCCUUAUGACUUCAGUACACUCUGUUUGCAUUGCUGUAUCUCUGUAGAGGAAAAAUCAUUUAACCAGCUUGGGUUUAAUGUUUAUUACCCCCAAAUACAUGUAAUCCUAAAAGUGAGAGUCGAAUUUUAAAGACAUAGCAUUUGUCUGACAUAAAAGCACAGCUGGCUUUUAUGAACAAAUAUUAUGUAUCAUAUAAUUAGCAAUUAUUACAUUUUUCCCCAUGUAUAUUUAUUUGCAAGGCAUGUGACAUAAAUCAGGCAUUGAGUGGUAAGUGCUUUUCUAAACAAAAUCUCAAGAUGUGAUAUUUUAGAAAAAUUAGAACAAUUAUAUUUAUAUUGAUGUGUGUGUAUGUAUGUGUGUGUGUUUGUGAAUUAUAGCUUGUGACAAAUGAAGGUUAUACCCUAGUAACUUAAUUCAAAUGUAUUGUUUCUGCGUAUUCGUACUUUUGGGGUAUGCUUUAGAACCUUCUAGAAAGCAGUGCUGAACUAAGGAGCUCUAAUUAAUCAAACAUUGCAGGAAUGCCCUGGAAGAUUGAGCAUCAGAUCUAUAUAUCAAGUUGAAGGCAUAAUAAACAAAUCUGUAUAGCAAUGAAGGUAGCAUUCCUACAAAAUAAAAUAGAAACAUUACAAAGUUAUACUAAAUGACACUCCUUUAGCUCAUGAGUCCUAAGGCCAUGAGGUACUAUCACUAUGGCUUAGACAUAGCCUAAUCCACAUAGACAGACAUAGUGUGGAGAACACAUUCUUUUUACAGGGAUCUCCAAAGGCUAUAAACAAGGAGUAGGUGAAUUCCUAAAAAAUAUUUUUCUAUCCACAUAAAAGGAAAGGUAAAUGAGACAGUCUAUUUUCAGGCUCCAGUCUUGAAAAGGUUUCUCAAGCAUGGACUUUUACUCCAGAGUGGAGUUCUCUUUUCCACCUUAACUACUGGAGGCAGAUUACAUACAAAGAAAAUCUUUAUGCUGUAUACAAAUACUAGACUAGCCGUCAAGUAGCCAAAGCUCGCUCUGAGUGCGUGCGUGUGUAAUAUUUCAUAUAUAUCAAAUAAACUUCUAUAAUAGCAUAUGCCCAUAAAAGUGUGGUCUAGGGCACAGGCUAGUGUGCCAAAAGACAUAGGCUUGAUUCCCUGCUUAGCCCCUAACCUGUUGUGCAACCUUAGACAACUUACUUAACCUUUUUGUUCCUUUUUUCACCUCUGACCCUUUGUCAUGUCUAUUUAGAUUGUAAACUCUUAGGGCAUGUCUACACUUACCUCUGGAGUGAUAAAUCCAGUGGGGGUCGAUUUAUCGCAUCUAGUGAAGAUGUGAUAAAUCGACCGCCGAGCGCUUUCCCGUCAAUUCUGGUACUCUACUGUAGUGAGAAGCGUAGAUGGAAUUGACAGGGGAGCAUCAGUUGUCAACCUACCGCAGUGAAGACACCACGGUAAGUAGAUCUAAGUACAUCAACUUCAGCUACAUUAUUCACAUAGCUGAAGUUGUGUAACUUAGAUCGAUACCCGCCCACACACACCACCAGUGUAGAGCAUGCCUUAGAGGCAAGGACAGUCUCUCACUAUGUUUUUUACAGAGUGUAGUAAAAUAAGGCUUCCAUAUCAACAAGUCUUUGCAUUUUUCUAAUAUUACACGUUCAUAAAGAAAAUCUAAUUAAGCUGUACACAUAUAAAACUAUAUUAGGCUCUGAUCCUUCAAGGGGAGCCACUAAUGUGGACUUUUGUUCCCAGAUAAAAUUCUGUCGACUCUGUAGGGGGAUUACCUGUGUUCAGUUAUUAUUUGAUUUACUUUACUAUUUGUACACAGUAUAAAGAGUCAGUUCUUAUGGUAUUUUCAUAUAGUAAGUGUGAUUAAAAGUAUAUAUAUAAAUACAAAUAUAUUUUGCUUUUCAGGAUUACAAUACACACUUUCAGUAUGAAAUAAUGGGACCAGUUCUAAAGCUAAUGCUCAGACAAAUAAGUAUCUGUAAUGCAAUGCACGUAAAAGUAAUGGAGAAACUAAACCAAAUGGUGUGAACUUCAGUAGAAAACAGUUCUCAUGAGAAGCAAUUUUUACAGAGCUCUUGAAUGAUUUAUGCAACCAGUAUUUCACUGAUGGUUGUUUUCCAAAGUGGGUCAAGAACACAUAUGUUUAUAACACAUACAGAAAUUAUGUUAAAUCGUAAGGCUCUGAUAAACUCAACAAAGCCAAACACAUUUAGGAUUAAGCCUUUAGUUCUGUCCACAGCACAUUCCCCUGUGCCUCAGUAAUUGCAGAGUUGCAAAGGCUAGAGAUCAAUGCUUUUAUGUUAUGAGUUAAAGAUUAAUUGGAAGCCUUAUCACUGAAUUUUCUUACUUUCUUGGGUUAAAGUCAAACCAUUAAAACAACAUUAAUGUAUUUUUUCUAUGCUAAUUUCCUUUUAUUAAUGGUAGUUAAAAGGAAAAAAGAGCUCAUAGGAAGAGCCUUUAAAAAUCUAUUCUGUAGGUCCUCACCAGGGAUCUAUAUUGAUCCCUAAAUAGAAAAUUCAGGAGAAAUUGGAUGUGGAAUCUGUACAGUGAAGUACUUGGGAUGGGAAAAGGCAUUCAGAUAUUAGGUGGUGAGUAUGACAUCAAUAGAUCGUUUCUGCCACUCUUACAUUCAUUAGUACCUUUUUCCAUGUGUAGUUUAGCUGAAGUCAAUGGGCCUACUUGUGGAGUAAAGUCCUACUCAACAUAAGCAAAGGUGGCAGAGUUUGGUCCAAAAUGUAUUGUGUCUAGUUAUGUCCAGUUUUAAAACAGCACAUGACAAUUGCUUUGCAUAUCUUUGAAAAACAGAAAACUGAACAAGAAAGUUUUCUUUUGUCAUCCCUUGCCUGGCUUUUAUUUAACUGAUACCAGUCAUUACCAGGAAACAAAGAUUCCUGAAUUCAGAGCUUAACAGAAUAACAUUAUCUGUAGUUGUUAGUAUUAUAAUAUUUACUUCUACCCUGGAAAUAUGCAUGUACAUCCUGUUGCUGAUUUAAAAUUUUUAAUAGUUUUUUUAAAAAUGUUACUAAAACUUCUAAAGAUAGUUUGCCUUCUUUUACGUGGACUACAGUCCAGGUACAAAAUACAUAUGUUAUCCUGUGAGUAAGCACAAUGUUUUAUGCUUAGAGGUAUGCACAAUAAAAUAUUUCCCUGCCAUAUGAGCUUAACUGUAUUUAAUUGUGCUAUAUUAAUCAAGAUAUGUAAUUAUCUUCCAGUUAAACUGGAUCAUCAUUGUUUAAUUAAAACUGAGACCUAUUCAUUGCACUAAUAAUUGUUUGAAUGAGUCUUUUUUCUUGAGAAAAUCUUUUUAAUGUGGUAGAAUAAAUUAUGUAAUAUUUUACGUUUGGAUGGUUAUUUGUUUUCAGUUAAUUGUAAUUAUCACUGGCAUAAAUUAAAGAAUUUAUUAUUAACAUUAAUAAAUGCUUUAUUAUACCUAUUAUACAUUUCCCCAUUUCCAGGAUGUGAAGAACUGGGAAAUAACUGAUAUAUUUUUAUAAAUAUUGUGCUUGCCUUUGUGUGUUUAUGAUGGGUUGCUUUUUAUGGAGUUAGAUGAAAAUGGGGCUGUUAAGGGAACCAAGCAGGAGAAAUAGCCUGGAUUAGGAGCAUCCUAACAUAAUAGCCUAUAUAAGGAGCAUCCUAACAAACACAAUGGCCAAGUUAAUAGCUGUGAAGAGGCAAUGCCUUGGUCCCACCCAUAGUUACAUAGCUGUUUUGCCAAGGCUGAGAACCUGGAGUCCAGGGAGAUUACUGAUGAACCCAGGAAGCUGAAUAGCAGAUACUGCCUCCUCAGCCACUCUGGAACCUGCAUGGGGCAUAAUAAUAACCAAAAACUUCCCCCAACAAACCUGCAACCAGCGUCUGGCGGCCACAGCUGUGCCAGGGCAGGCUUAGCCUACUCUGGCCUAAUAUAACCACCGCCCAUGCUGCUAGGUAUCACAUUUGGCAGACAGGCAGGCGUAUAACCUGGAGACCCAGUCAGAGAGCAGUUAAAUAGCAGGGUCUCACCCAAAGAUAAGUGGAGACAUAGGCCUGACACUUGAAAGGAGUGCAUGUGGAGAACUGGAACAGGGUCUCAGAAGGAGCAGUUUACCCAGGCACCAUGAUACAUGACAUAAACAUUAUUUCUAAGGCUUAUCAGAAUGAUGUAAUUCACAAGUGGGCAAUUACUAUUACUAGAGAAAUUCUCCAGUCUCCAUUUUGCUUUUCUAAUCUUUAUUCUGAAUAAGCAAAAGUCAGUCCACCUUGAGAUGAACAUUCCAGAACCUGAGAAUGCUCAGUGAAAACCCAGAAUUUCUAAAAAUGGUACCCUGGCAAAGAGCCAAGUAUAUGUGUGUGUGUGGAUCGGCAAAAUCACAGCUCCGAGGUAAAUGACAGCAGUGAGCAUGUGCAAGAUUUGUGGCUACUGAGCAUGUGCAGUAAGGGGUGACAGAGAGGCCAGUUAACUGACCAUCUAGCUGGUUAUAGCCCACUCAUACCGGUCACAACUUGUUCUAAAGGUCAGAACUGCCAAUGAUAAUUCUGAAGUAAUGGUUAAUACUGAACAUGUACGAAUGAGGCUAUUGCUUCUAAGAAUAGAAGGGUAUAUUGAGAGAGAGUCAGAGUGCAGCAUAAAAAGCCAGCUGCCAGCAGGCAGAUUUGCAGAUGAAGAAAAUCUGGAUUGGAAAGAGAGAGAGCGAUUAGAUCAGGAGAAGACAGGGAACUGGAAGCUAGCAAAGAGACAGCUGAUGGAAAGAAAUAAGAAAAGCUGUGUCAGAGAGAGAGAAGAAACCAGAGCACAGCAAAGCUGACUAACCAGGAGCUGAAUAGCAACAGUGAGUAAAGAUUUACAAAGCAGCAACAGUGAUUUUAAAGGCAUACCAAUGGAUUAAAAAUAUAAGCUUGUAAUUUUUUAUAUGAAUUUUAGUGUAGUAUAAUUUAGUAUAAUAUUAUAUAUGUGUAUACUUGGAGUAUAUGUGUGUGUUUUAAUUGCAUUUUAUUUAUGUAAAACUUAAAGUAUAAUUUAAGAACUGCUGUCAGAGAUUUUUUUGCAAACUGGCCACUUGUAACAAAUUGCUUCGCUUAGAAUCAUUUGAUUUAUAUGCUAUUGUAGUUUAAAUUCUCUUUAAUGUGCAAUAUGGGAUUGGUGCCAGCGAUUUUGUGCCUUGUUUAGGAUUGUUGGAUUAUAUUGUAUUGGAGAUUAUUAGUUACUUUAAUAAAAGAUACUUUGUU
Long non-coding RNA from Malaclemys terrapin pileata, 6859 nucleotides. RefSeq lists it as uncharacterized. The record is from RefSeq and is a predicted model, not a curated record. The transcript is spliced from 7 exons. Lineage: Eukaryota; Metazoa; Chordata; Testudines; Emydidae.